CCUACGGGAGGCAGCAGUGGGGGAUAUUGCGCAAUGGGGGAAACCCUGACGCAGCAACGCCCGCGUGAAGGAUGAAGGUCUUCGGAUUGUAAACUUCUUUUAUUAAGGACGAAGAAAGUGACGGUACUUAAUGAAUAAGCUCCGGCUAACUACGUGCCAG
This 160-nucleotide ribosomal RNA is filed under the name uncultured bacterium. RNAcentral's name for it is "partial 16S ribosomal RNA". It matches the Rfam family "Bacterial small subunit ribosomal RNA", at positions 338 to 511 of the family's 1533-position model. The record is from RNAcentral.